RNAcentral lists this ribosomal RNA (497 nucleotides) under uncultured bacterium. RNAcentral's name for it is "partial 16S ribosomal RNA". It matches the Rfam family "Bacterial small subunit ribosomal RNA", at positions 28 to 507 of the family's 1533-position model. The record is from RNAcentral.
GAUGAACGCUGGCGGCGUGCCUAAUACGUGCAAGUCGAGCGAACAGACGAGGAGCUUGCUCCUCUGACGUUAGCGGCGGACGGGUGAGUAACACGUGGAUAACCUACCUAUAAGACUGGGAUAACUUCGGGAAACCGGAGCUAAUACCGGAUAACAUGUUGAACCGCAUGGUUCAACAGUGAAAGACGGUCUUGCUGUCACUUAUAGAUGGAUCCGCGCCGCAUUAGCUAGUUGGUAAGGUAACGGCUUACCAAGGCAACGAUGCGUAGCUGACCUGAGAGGGUGAUCGGCCACACUGGAACUGAGACACGGUCCAGACUCCUACGGGAGGCAGCAGUAGGGAAUCUUCCGCAAUGGGCGAAAGCCUGACGGAGCAACGCCGCGUGAGUGAAGAAGGUCUUCGGAUCGUAAAACUCUGUUAUUGGGGAAGAACAAAUGUGUAAGUAACUAUGCACGUAUUGACGGUACCUAAUCAGAAAGCCACGGCUAACUACGUG